RNAcentral lists this ribosomal RNA (249 nucleotides) under uncultured bacterium. RNAcentral describes it as "partial 16S ribosomal RNA". It matches the Rfam family "Bacterial small subunit ribosomal RNA", at positions 85 to 334 of the family's 1533-position model. The record is from RNAcentral.
CCGCUGACGACCGGCGCACGGGUGCGUAACGCGUAUACAAUCUACCUUUUACAGAGGGAUAGCCCAGAGAAAUUUGGAUUAAUACCUCAUGGUAUUAUUAAUUGGCAUCGAUUAAUAAUUAAAACUCCGGUGGUAAAAGAUGAGUAUGCGUUCUAUUAGCUAGUUGGUAAGGUAACGGCUUACCAAGGCUACGAUAGAUAGGGGUCCUGAGAGGGAGAUCCCCCACACUGGUACUGAGACACGGACCAG